This is a small nuclear RNA of Symsagittifera roscoffensis, 189 nucleotides long. RefSeq annotates it as U2 spliceosomal RNA. NCBI's taxonomy places the organism in Eukaryota, Metazoa, Xenacoelomorpha, Acoela, Convolutidae. The transcript has a single exon. The record is from RefSeq and is a predicted model, not a curated record.
UUGCCUAUUUUGGUCCUGAGGAGUUUAAUCAUUCAUCUGUUUUUGUCAGCUUAAUAUCUGGCAUGCUGGGCAUUGCCUGGCACCAAUAUUAAAUUGAUUUUUGCUUCUCGCGUUUAACAACGAAGCUUGAUUAGGUUGACUCAUGGAUUGUCUCGGUCUUACACUACCAUAAUGAUAUGUCUGAUUCAG